This is a small nucleolar RNA of Nannospalax galili (Upper Galilee mountains blind mole rat), 135 nucleotides long. NCBI's taxonomy places the organism in Eukaryota, Metazoa, Chordata, Mammalia, Rodentia, Spalacidae. The record is from Ensembl.
GGCACUAUUUUUAACACUGUGGAUGAGAACUUUCUCCACCCUUGGCUACGCUGUAGUGCAGAAGAAUUCCUGGUUCUUUGUUGCACAGCGGACCUCUGCCGUUUUGCUAUUGCUUUAUGGAUUUAAGAAGAAAAA